This is a non-coding RNA of Cinara cedri, 668 nucleotides long. The record is from the annotation of a GenBank genome assembly. NCBI's taxonomy places the organism in Eukaryota, Metazoa, Arthropoda, Insecta, Hemiptera, Aphididae.
AUUUUCCCGUUUUCCUACGUUUUUCUUGGUUUUUUCCACGGACAAACUCCUUAGAAAGUUUAAAAAAUGACCUAAAGUACUACUCCAAGAAAUUUUGUAAAUGUAUUGUAAAACCAAUGCAUUCCUCGAUUCACCCAGAAUCUAAAAUUGAAAAUAAUGAAAUUGUUAACAGCAAUGUGGUGUACGUUUUUCAAAGAUAUCUUUUUCCGGUUUUCACUUGAUUUUAGAAGAACCAUUUCUUAAAUUAAAAAACAACCGGACACGCUCCACACGAUGGGUGUGCCACUGUUGUAGGUGAGAAGUUGGGAAGNCAAUCCAGCCCUGGUUGCGAAUUUAUUGAAAGUACACAGAAUAAUAAAACACAACAUAAGGGAAAUAUUACAGAAUUUUGAGACAUCGUUAAAUUAUUAGCUUCUUAAAAAUUAAUAGUCUAUAAUCACUGUCUGUUUGCCACUUCGAAACUUAAUGAAUACGGUUGAGUUGAACAGUCGUCUGUCACCACUUUGUAUUACCGUUUAUUAUAAUCCUGUUUAAACAGAUUUUAACUAUUAUAUAAUACUAAAAAAACCAUCAAUUAAUCGUUAUAAAUAAUGGUUUUGUUGAAGGUUUACAUAGAGAAGUAAGUAUUUAAUAUUUUACGAAACGUUGACAUUUUUUAUCACAUGAAC